Acanthopagrus latus (yellowfin seabream) is the source of this 297-nucleotide long non-coding RNA. RefSeq lists it as uncharacterized. The transcript is spliced from 3 exons. NCBI's taxonomy places the organism in Eukaryota, Metazoa, Chordata, Actinopteri, Spariformes, Sparidae. The record is from RefSeq and is a predicted model, not a curated record.
AACAUUUUGAACAAUCUGGAGCAAGUGAUGGAUGACUGACACUGUUCCAACACGUGAGGGAGUCAGUGAUAUUCAGUGAUUGUGAGAUUCAUGUGUCAAGCUUCACUGUGAAACUCCAUCGACACCAUGUUCCAUGACAGCAAGAGUGACUGUCAACAGACAGCAACUGAUUAAGUGGCAACAGUCUUAUCAUGUCAGUGUAAGGCAAGCGUCUCUGUAUUUGGAAACAACUAGAGCAACAGUGUGACCAAAAGCAGAGAGGGAGAAGUUCUGCAAGAGACCAUGGACACAGACAGC